Molecule: small nucleolar RNA, 132 nt
Organism: Acomys russatus (golden spiny mouse)
Lineage: Eukaryota; Metazoa; Chordata; Mammalia; Rodentia; Muridae
Product: small nucleolar RNA SNORA17
Exons: 1
Source: RefSeq, a predicted model, not a curated record
CCUUCCCCUAGAGGCACUGCAGGUGUGGCUGCUGUGUCACGUGUGCACCAGUAGGUGGCAGAGAGGAGAGAGGCCAUGUCUGUGCUAAGUGUUCUGACCUGUGAACAUCCCAAUGCUUAGUAGCUUAAUGCU